This 503-nucleotide ribosomal RNA is filed under the name uncultured bacterium. RNAcentral's name for it is "partial 16S ribosomal RNA". It matches the Rfam family "Bacterial small subunit ribosomal RNA", at positions 28 to 523 of the family's 1533-position model. The record is from RNAcentral.
GAUGAACGCUAGCGGCAGGCCUAACACAUGCAAGUCGAGGGGUAGCAGGAUUAAGCUUGCUUAAUUGCUGACGACCGGCGCACGGGUGCGUAACGCGUAUGCAACCUACCUUAUACUGGGGUAUAGCCCGGAGAAAUUCGGAUUAAUCCCCCAUAGUACUAAUGAAUCGCAUGGUUUAUUAGUUAAAGCAUUGCGGUAUAAGAUGGGCAUGCGUCCUAUUAGCUAGAUGGUGAGGUAACGGCUCACAAUGGCUACGAUAGGUAGGGGGCCUGAGAGGGUGGUCCCCCACACUGGUACUGAGACACGGACCAGACUCCUACGGGAGGCAGCAGUGAGGAAUAUUGGUCAAUGGGCGCAAGCCUGAACCAGCCAUGCCGCGUGCAGGAAGAAUGCCCUAUGGGUUGUAAACUGCUUUUAUUUGGGAAUAAACCUCUUUACGUGCAGAGAGCUGAAGGUACCAAAUGAAUAAGCACCGGCUAACUCCGUGCCAGCAGCCGCAGUAA